GUCUUUUAAUUGAAGACUUGUAUGAAUGAUUUGAUGAAAUAUAAACUGUCUCUUUAUUAAAAAUAGAAUUUAAUUUUUUAGUUAAAAAGCUAAAAUUUAUUUAAAAGACGAGAAGACCCUAUAGAGUUUUAUAUUUAAAAUUAUAUUAAUUUUGUAUAAAAUUUUUAUUUAAUAUUUUUUUAAGUAUUUUAUUGGGGUGAUAGAAAAAUUUAAUAAACUUUUUUUUAAAAUUUUACAUUAAUAUAUGAAAUUUUGAUCCAUAAUUUAUGAUUAAAAGAUUAAAUUACCUUAGGGAUAACAGCGUAAUUUUUUUUUUUAGUUCUUAUAAGAAAAAAAGUUUGCGACCUCGAUGUUGGAUUAAG
RNAcentral lists this ribosomal RNA (362 nucleotides) under Pieris dulcinea. Its description in RNAcentral is "partial large subunit ribosomal RNA". The record is from RNAcentral. RNAcentral also lists the same sequence under 1 other name. Lineage: Eukaryota; Metazoa; Arthropoda; Insecta; Lepidoptera; Pieridae.